GACGAACGCUGGCGGCGUGCUUAACACAUGCAAGUCGAGCGGUAAGGCCCUUUCGGGGGUACACGAGCGGCGAACGGGUGAGUAACACGUGGGUGACCUGCCCUCAGCUCUGGGAUAAGCCCGGGAAACGUGGGUCUAAUACCGGAUAUGACUCCAUGACGCAUGUUGUGGGGUGGAAAGCCUUGUGCGGCUGAGGAUGGGCCCGCGGCCUAUCAGCUUGUUGGUGGGGUGAUGGCCUACCAAGGCGACGACGGGUAGCCGGCCUGAGAGGGCGACCGGCCACACUGGGACUGAGACACGGCCCAGACUCCUACGGGAGGCAGCAGUGGGAAUCUUGCGCAAUGGGCGAAAGCCUGACGCAGCGACGCCGCGUGAGGGAUGACGGCCU
RNAcentral lists this ribosomal RNA (388 nucleotides) under uncultured bacterium. RNAcentral's name for it is "bacterial SSU rRNA". It matches the Rfam family "Bacterial small subunit ribosomal RNA", at positions 28 to 417 of the family's 1533-position model. The record is from RNAcentral.